Long non-coding RNA from Thamnophis elegans (Western terrestrial garter snake), 543 nucleotides. RefSeq lists it as uncharacterized. The record is from RefSeq and is a predicted model, not a curated record. The transcript has 2 exons. NCBI's taxonomy places the organism in Eukaryota, Metazoa, Chordata, Lepidosauria, Squamata, Natricidae.
UAAACAAGUCCAGUUCUUAAUAUAUGGAAUUAAACCUCGACAUGUCUAUUUCUGCAUCUUUCCUAUGAAUACUUCUUAUGUCCCCUGGAUUUUGAUUUCCAGAGGAAGCUUCCUAUGUAUACUUCAUAGGUCCUCUGCAACGUGAAUUACAGAGGAACCUCAAAAAGAAAAGAAAAAUCUAAAGCGCUAAAGGAAGAACUGAAAUGUUUUUUAUAUAAGACAAAAAAAAUUAAAACUGAGAUAUAUUGAUAGAAACAAGUAAGAUAUUUACACCAUUCAUUCGGGCACCAUUCCUAACCUAUGCAAGGUGGGAGAAAGAGAAAGAUACUAAGGAUUUGAAAAAAAGUGUACUUGAAUUUGAACCGUUGAAACCAAUUACGAUGCUGGGGGUUUCGUCAGCUGACUUGACGGGGUAACGUGGGACCUUCAAUUACAACAUUGAUUUUCUUGCCAACUCCAAUUUUGGAUAUACUAAAUCAGAUAAAUUUAAAGGGCCAUGUUUAGAAAGAAUGCAAAUAAUUUGGGGGAUUAUGAGAAAAAUAG